AGAGUUUGAUCCUGGCUCAGAUUGAACGCUGGCGGCAUGCCUUACACAUGCAAGUCGAACGGUAACAGGCCGCAAGGUGCUGACGAGUGGCGAACGGGUGAGUAAUGCAUCGGAACGUGCCCAGUAGUGGGGGAUAGCCCGGCGAAAACCGGAUUAAUACCGCAUACGACCUACGGGUGAAAGCGGGGGACCGAAAGGCCUCGCGCUAUUGGAGCGGCCGAUGUCAGAUUAGGUAGUUGGUGGGGUAAAGGCCUACCAAGCCUACGAUCUGUAGCUGGUCUGAGAGGACGACCAGCCACACUGGGACUGAGACACGGCCCAGACUCCUACGGGAGGCAGCAGUGGGGAAUUUUGGACAAUGGGCGCAAGCCUGAUCCAGCCAUGCCGCGUGCGGGAAGAAGGCCUUCGGGUUGUAAACCGCUUUUGUCAGGGAAGAAAUCUUCUGGGUUAAUACCUCGGGAGGAUGACGGUACCUGAAGAAUAAGCACCGGCUAACUACGUGCCAGCAGCCGCGGUAAU
RNAcentral lists this ribosomal RNA (519 nucleotides) under uncultured bacterium. Its description in RNAcentral is "bacterial SSU rRNA". It matches the Rfam family "Bacterial small subunit ribosomal RNA", at positions 8 to 524 of the family's 1533-position model. The record is from RNAcentral.